GCUCCCCUAGCUCAAUAGUGCAGAGCAGUCGCCUUUUAAGCGUCGGGUUGUGGGUUCGAGUCCCACGGGGAGUACCA
The sequence is a transfer RNA, 77 nucleotides long. It matches the Rfam family "tRNA". Rfam says of the family: Transfer RNA (tRNA) molecules are approximately 80 nucleotides in length. Their secondary structure includes four short double-helical elements and three loops (D, anti-codon, and T loops).